AGAAGGUCAAAGAGGUGAAUUUUUCAUGCAUUGCCUCUGAUUGUUCCUUGUUAUUUUUUUUCUCCCCAAUUUGUGGAAAGCUGCACCCUUCUCCCUCCUGUGUUUGUGCAAAUGAAGGUCUCAUGCAUGCUUAGGUGGAUAACUAAUCUAUAGAUGUACCAUACAUGUGUAAUUAUUUUUAUUUUCUAGAUAUUAUGUGGAGUUGGCUACAUUUGAUUCCGAUUAUAAAAAGUGCAGAGGAAUUCUGGUAUUUGCAUGUCCAACUAAUGUGCUGUCUCUCUCUAAAAAUGGAGGAUUUUUUUAAUAAAAAUUGAUUUUUUU
Molecule: unclassified non-coding RNA, 321 nt
Filed under: Hevea brasiliensis (rubber tree)
Lineage: Eukaryota; Viridiplantae; Streptophyta; Magnoliopsida; Malpighiales; Euphorbiaceae
Source: RNAcentral